This 253-nucleotide ribosomal RNA is filed under the name uncultured bacterium. RNAcentral's name for it is "partial 16S ribosomal RNA". It matches the Rfam family "Bacterial small subunit ribosomal RNA", at positions 524 to 776 of the family's 1533-position model. The record is from RNAcentral.
CACGUAGGGCGCAAGCGUUGUCCGGAAUUAUUGGGCGUAAAGAGCUCGUAGGCGGUCUGUUGCGUCCGCUGUGAAAACCCGGGGCUUAACCCUGGGCUGGCAGUGGAUACGGACAGACUAGAGGUAGGUAGGGGAGAAUGGAAUUCCACGUGUAGCGGUGAAAUGCGUAGAGAUGUGGAGGAACACCAGUGGCGAAGGCGACUCUUUGGCCUGUAACUGACGCUGAGGCGCGAAAGCGUGGGGAGCAAACAGG